Long non-coding RNA from Gorilla gorilla gorilla (western lowland gorilla), 2562 nucleotides. RefSeq lists it as uncharacterized. Lineage: Eukaryota; Metazoa; Chordata; Mammalia; Primates; Hominidae. The record is from RefSeq and is a predicted model, not a curated record. The transcript is spliced from 3 exons.
UUCUGAAUCUGGGCUCCGUGCGGGCCACUCCCUGCCUGUCCUCCCCCAGGAAGCCUCCUCGGCUGAGGAGCACAGACUUUGGGCUGGCGGACCUGGCCCCGGCGCUUUCUUCAAGGCUGAAGAGCUUCCUUCCACGCUGUGGCCCGCGCCUCUCACGUCUCCCCUGGAGUCAGCUGCCAGACACCCUGACCUCAGCGCUGGACGCCUCGGAGUCUGCUUCCUCCUCCCAGAGGCCUUCUCUGACCCGCAUCUAACUGAGACAGGGUUUUACCAUGUUGCCCAGGCUGGCCUCCAACUCCUGGACUCAAGCAAUCCACCUACCUCGGCCUCUCAAAGUUCUGGGAUUACAGGCGUGAGCCACCGCGCCUGGCCUGUGCUGACCAGAGAGAGGUUCUUCUUUUGACUUACGUCACCAUCUUAAAAAACAGCACUAUUACCCAAAGGACAAAUUAGCAGAGAAGAGGAAUGAGUUGUGCACAUUGGCACUGUGUCAACUUGGAACGAAGGGGAGCACGGAUAUUGUUCACAAUAUACCCCAAACCAAAUCGUCAUUAAAAACAAAAGCCAUGGCCGGGCAUGGUGGCUCACGCCUGUAAUCCCAGCACUUUGGGAGGCCAAGGCAGGCAGAUCACAAGGUCAGGAGAUCGAGACCAUACUGGCUAAAACGGUGAAACCCCGUCUCUACUAAAAAAAAAUACAAAAAAUUAGAUGGGUGUGGUGGCAGGUGCCUGUAGUCCCAGCUACUUGGGAGGCUGAGGCAGGAGAAUGGUGUGAACCCACGAGGUGGAGCUUGCAAUGAGACGAGAUCAAGCCACUGCACUCCAGCCUAGGCCACAGAGUGAGACUCCUUCUCAAAAAAAAGAAAAAAAAAGCACCAAAGGAAAAAAAAGCCAUGUAAUCAGUCAAAUAAGAUGUCAUUACUUUGGGGAUUUAUAUAUAUUUAAUCCUAAGCUAACUAAUGCAGAAACAGAAAAGUGCUGCAUGUUCUAACUGGGUGCUCAUGGACGUAAAGCUGGCAACAACAGAUACUGGGGAUUCCUACAGCAGGGAAGGAGGGAGGGGGAAUGCAUUGAAGCACUAACUAUUGGGUACUUUGCUCAGUACCUGGGUGACAGGAUCUGUACUCCCAAACUUCAGCAUCAUGCCAUAUACCCAUGUAACAAACCUGCACAUGUACCCCCAGAAUCUAAAAUAAAUGUUGAAAUUAUGUAAUAAUAAUCAUUUAAAUGUUAGCCCAUGAGAUGGUGAAAUAUUGUUACCAAGACAACUUUGACAAAGUGGGAGUGCAUUGACCAGAAGCAGAUCAUGCGAUGGUGAGGACAUAGGCUGCCUCCCUUCCAAUUUCAGAAGGAAACACGGGCGUGGGACCAGCUGCACUCAGGCCAGCAGGGUACUUGUCCUUCUUACAACCACACAUAUUGUGAAUUUGUAUAGCAGUUAACAUUGCUGAAGCCCUCUCAGGAAUAUAUGUCAUGGUCCUUUGAACUGAUAGGCGUGGUGUUUAACCAUGUCUGUAGCGCCUAUAAACUUGAUACUUUAACAUCUGCCUCUGUGAUGAUACCCGACGCCUUGUUCUGGACAGCCUGAGUCACCUUGUCUUGGCCUCCCACCUCCCUCAUCACCACCCUCCACAUCAAGAGGAGUCCUUCUCCUGAGGUGUGCUUUUCAAAGGCAAACCACCUAAUCCAGAGUCUGCACCCCCAACCACCUCCCUUAUCUGGCUCUCACACUCUGAACCACCAUCCCCCUGCCCUUAUCACCGUACCAGAUACCAGAUAGCCCCUGGAAUUAUUUAAACUAGCCCAUCCUGAGCUUGUUUGCCCUGCCUCCCAUUGCUUCCCUUGGAAACCAUAAUAAAGGCUCUUGCCCACAGUGACCUCUUCCCCCGCCUUCUCAGCGACCCUGGGGAGUCACCAUGUGGCCCUGUGGUGUGAUGCACGCUCCCUCUCUUGGGAUCUGUGAGUUUAAUGCACAAUCUUUUCAAUGGUAGUUGUCCCCGAUCUGUUGGCUUCACCAUACCUGAAAAAAAUAAUGAAACCUAUCAAAAUACAGGCUAUGAGGCAGAGGAUCUGAUGCCUGCAAGAUGAGAGACCCUGACAGUUUUUUCUAGCUCCUAGCCCUAAGCUUCUCCCCUGCAUGAUAUUCCAGUGAGAUAUGGUGUGGAAUGACAGAAAGAAAUCCAGCUUGGGGUGUAUGUAUGUACCUUUGACACUGCAUGGGAGCUCUUUGCCUACCUGUCUUGCUUGGGCAUUUCCAGUCCUUCCUCUGGGCAUUCUCAAUAGCAGUGGAAUUUUUAACUGGGAAAAUGGGGAUUACUUCAUUGGGAAAUGAAGUAAUAUGACAUAUUAUUUCAAAAAAAAAAGCCACAUUACUUCAUUUCCCAAUUAUAAAUAGACCCUUCACCAUGGAUCUGCCAUUUGCAACUUCCAUGACAUUGCAAGUGUUUGAGUUCAAAUUCAUUUUCUGCAAACCACGACCAUGUUUGUUUCACAGCUGUAUUCCCAGGCUUAGCAUAUCUGGCACAGUUAGUGCAGGCUAGAUAUCAGUUAACUGAAUGAAUAA